This 27-nucleotide non-coding RNA is filed under the name Mus musculus (house mouse). The record is from RNAcentral. Lineage: Eukaryota; Metazoa; Chordata; Mammalia; Rodentia; Muridae.
UUCAAGGAUAAACUAGAAAUGUGGCCC